GAUGAACGCUGGCGGCGUGCUUAACACAUGCCAGUCGAACGAUGAAGCCCAGCUUGCUGGGUGGAUUAGUGGCGAACGGGUGAGUAACACGUGAGUAACCUGCCCUUAACUCUGGGAUAAGCCUGGGAAACUGGGUCUAAUACCGGAUAGGAGCGUCCACCGCAUGGUGGGUGUUGGAAAGAUUUAUCGGUUUUGGAUGGACUCGCGGCCUAUCAGCUUGUUGGUGAGGUAAUGGCUCACCAAGGCGACGACGGGUAGCCGGCCUGAGAGGGUGACCGGCCACACUGGGACUGAGACACGGCCCAGACGCCUACGGGAGGCAGCAGUGGGGAAUAUUGCACAAUGGGCGCAAGCCUGAUGCAGCGACGCCGCGUGAGGGAUGACGGCCUUCGGGUUGUAAACCUCUUUCAGUAGGGAAGAAGCGAAAGUGACGGUACCUGCAGAAGAAGCACCGGCUAACUACGCG
This 466-nucleotide ribosomal RNA is filed under the name uncultured bacterium. RNAcentral describes it as "partial 16S ribosomal RNA". It matches the Rfam family "Bacterial small subunit ribosomal RNA", at positions 28 to 507 of the family's 1533-position model. The record is from RNAcentral.